RNAcentral lists this ribosomal RNA (253 nucleotides) under uncultured bacterium. RNAcentral describes it as "partial 16S ribosomal RNA". It matches the Rfam family "Bacterial small subunit ribosomal RNA", at positions 524 to 776 of the family's 1533-position model. The record is from RNAcentral.
UACGGAGGGUGCAAGCGUUAUCCGGAUUCACUGGGUUUAAAGGGUGCGUAGGUGGCUUUGUAGGUCAGUGGUGAAAUCUUAGAGCUUAACUCUAAAACUGCCAUUGAUACUGCUUAGCUUGAAUCAAGUAGAGGUGGAUGGAAUAUUACAUGUAGCGGUGAAAUGCUUAGAUAUGUAAUAGAACACCGAUUGCGAAGGCAGUUCACUAUGCUUGUAUUGACACUGAGGCACGAAAGCGUGGGGAUCAAACAGG